Long non-coding RNA from Nasonia vitripennis (jewel wasp), 806 nucleotides. RefSeq lists it as uncharacterized. The record is from RefSeq and is a predicted model, not a curated record. Lineage: Eukaryota; Metazoa; Arthropoda; Insecta; Hymenoptera; Pteromalidae. The transcript is spliced from 3 exons.
GGACGAUCUGCUCUCUCGAGAGCUGCCGGAUCGCUGGACAGCUAUUAAGUGCCUUUGAUUUUAUUUAUAUAAUUACCAAGUAUUUCUCCGGGAUGGAGAUAUUAUAAAAGAAAUUAUGUACGGCUCUACGACGGACACGAUACCGUUCAUCGAUAUCUUUUCAUGUAUGCUUCUCAAUUGCGAGAAGCAUACAGAGCUUAAUUGUCUCUCUAUAUGCAGGUGAUGUGUUCUUGAGCGCCUUAAAAUUACGACGUUCUGAUAUUUCAUUCGAUCUACGCAUCAGAACUCAUUGUGCAAUCAAUUCUAAAUCAUAGCAGCCAGAACAUCGAAAAAAUUUAAAGCCUCGUUCGAAGAAUGUAUACCUAUAUGUGAUUUUGAGCGUAGACGUUGAGUUAGCUGUGAAAACAUCUUUAAUCUCCGGUCCAAGGCGACGGCCGCACGAAACAACAUCACAGGCGUCUAAUGGUCCGAGUCAGGUUCUAUGAAAAUGUACCAGAUUAUGCAAAACAACGGCUUUAGACACGCCAGCAAGGCAGCUUCAGCAUUGAUGGCACAACACUAUAUCUAGACUUGGCGCACAUUUAUUGUGAGGAAAAUGGAAAAGUAUCUGCGCGCCAUCAGUUUCCACCUGCCACAUCAGGCACAGAGACCGCGCAGACGAUGACGAAAGGGUCAGUCCAAAACUGCUUUGUUUUGGCAAUUGAUAUCGCUCUAGCGAUCCGCACGUUCGUUAUGUAUGUAGAAUAAAUUUUUAUUUAAAAAGAUUGAGAUUCUCGCGACAAUAUAACGAAGCUAUAUACACCAGC